AAUUUGACAGCCAAUAAACAAACAGCACACAGCACAAAUAUAAUAAAAGAAAAAAAAACCUCAAAUAAAAAACAAAUAAACCGAGUAGCGGCGAGUUCCGCUCUCAUGACACGGCACUAAAUUAUUAUCGAAAAUAUCGUAUACGAGUAUACCCGUCCACUUGACGGGCUCACUUGUAAUCGAUUUGAUAUUUAGACCUCACCUACCUCACCUCCACUCAACUCAACUCGCCUUCUCAGCCACUCAACUCGAGCGUUUCGGCUCCUUUUUCACAGGUGAUUAGAUGUUUUGGCCACGUCUGCGGCGGCGGCUCAAAGUGCUUAAUUAGCCUACCGUUUCUGGCCACCUUUUUUGUUGUUACUCUGUUAUGCUUACCACUUUGUUGUGGCGACUUCAAGACAAUCCAAAAUUUGGACACUGAGGAAACGGACUUUAUGGUGUUAAAACGAAAUAUAAUUAUGGAGUAAUAACUUUAGAAACAUAGACAUUAGAUCAUUAAUUUAAUCAUUCUUUGAGUUAGAUGACCUAAUGGAUUUGUUUGAUUUUAAAUGUGUAUAGAGCCGAAUUAUAAACUGAAGUCGGCAUGCGGUAAUGAUAUGCCAAUCACAAAACCUAAGCAGCAUGUAGAGCUCAUUGGGUUCAUUUAAAGUACAAUUAGCUGCGAAUUUGGAAACCGAAACAUUUCGAAUAGUUGGCUAAUUACAGCCGAGGAAUUUGGCAUUUUCAUUAGCUCACCGAAGGAAAACCAUUGAAAAUUUCUACCAUGCGAAAAGAAAUAAGAAAUUACGAUCUCAUCAUUUCCUGAUUACGUGAAACUGUCGCAAUUCAGAGCAGAGCCCGUAAAUCUCCGAUGUAAAUUUGUUUACUUUGGCGCUGAUCCUGAUCCUUAGCCUGACUGACACGACAACGGGCCAAUUAACUGCUGCCAAGAAAUGCUGGGAAUCAAAAAGUAAAUAAAUCAACAAGAAUGGACCCCCUUAAUAUUUCCUGGGCCUGUGCAACAUUUUGCAACAAUAUUUUCAGCUACCCACACGAGUUUUGACAGCCAUCGACAGUUGGCAAGAGAAUAAAAAAGUGAAGAGAAUACGUGAA
Molecule: long non-coding RNA, 1092 nt
Organism: Drosophila yakuba
Lineage: Eukaryota; Metazoa; Arthropoda; Insecta; Diptera; Drosophilidae
Exons: 2
Source: RefSeq, a predicted model, not a curated record